Long non-coding RNA from Sorex araneus (European shrew), 2929 nucleotides. RefSeq lists it as uncharacterized. The record is from RefSeq and is a predicted model, not a curated record. NCBI's taxonomy places the organism in Eukaryota, Metazoa, Chordata, Mammalia, Eulipotyphla, Soricidae. The transcript is spliced from 4 exons.
CAAGAGUGUCACCUGGAGUCCCCUCCCUGAGCGGUGUUCGCAAGGAAGUGCCAUGCAGCCUGUCCAGAAAGCCAAAGGGGGUUCCUGUGAGAGGUCCAGAGGCGCCCCCAGGAGCUGAGAGCCUGCAGUGAAGAAAUGACCACAGGCCUGAAACACUAGCCAGGCAAUCCCAGUGGCCACUCCCUGGCCUCCUUCUCUCCUCUGAAGUUGAGAGGACCAGCGCUUUUCAUGUACACUAAGGAUUAAAUGAGCUCAUGAAUGCGCUUGAGAACACAACCUCCAGCAGGGUCCCCGGGAUGCAUCUCAUCAGCGGCUUUGCUAUUUUAAUUUUGAUGGGGAAACUCCAAUCAAAAGAGAGAUGGCUUACAGACCGCUCCUCAUCUAGCCGGAAUCCAAGUCACAGAAGGGUCUGACCUGGUCCACGCCUGCGGUCCCCUCCCCCCGCCACGGAGGACAAAGGAGUCUGCAGCUCUGUGAUCCAAAUCGCACGCAGGCUCUAGAUUGUCCACCGCAGCCCUGGCUGCACCCAGGAACUUGCUAGAAUGCAGAACCUCAAAUCUCCUGCCAAAACCAGGAAAGGAAAAUCUGCACCGUAACAAGAUCCCUUAGACAAUUCAAAAGUGCACUCGGGUUAGAGGCCUGCUCGCCUCCAGUUGGCUCUGGGGACAGGCAUCUGAGCCGCCCCACCUCAUCCCGGAAAAUCUGAGCCCAAGACUCGUACAGAGAAGCUGAGCUUUCCGCAGCAGAAGGACCCUUUGAUUCGUGCCUCCGAGCCCUCCACAGCGCAUUAAAGCACACUUGGACACAUGUUAAGAAAAUUACUCCCCUCUUGAUUCCUUCUCAUCUUUCCUUUUACUGAAGAAGAGAGACUGGGAUUGGCGCUUCCUCCCGGGCUUCUCCUCCAAGAGCCUCCCUUGAAACAAAGAAACAGAAGGCCCACACCUAUAUCCCCUCCCACGGCAACAAUGUGGCGCUAGAUUAAUGACACUGCUUCCUCCCGGUGUAAGAUAACUGAAGAGUCACCACCAGAGAACAGAUUUGCCAGGCCUUUCCUCUGCAGAUAAGUUCCACCUCAAACCAUGAAUCAAACUGAAGAAAAACAGGCUUAUUCAUGCAACCAGAAGUGACUAUAACCGACUAUAAACAUGUCUGAGGCACAACGAGCUCGGUUCCGCCAGAGAUCCUGGCCCGACCCUUCAUGCCCACCCGUCCCUUUGCAUCUUCAACCCAGAUACUUCCAGAUUCCUCUGAAGACCUUCCUUGAGGGCUAUUCAAGGGUGAGGACCCCAGUGAGCUGGAUUGGGGGGAGGCAGGGUUCCAUCUCAUCACUCAUCUUUAAAGCACUCUAUAAACAUUGACUAAUUAACCCACACGACACCCAUGAGAGACAUCAGGGCUUCGCUUCGCAGAGGCAUUCACAAGGAAGGUACCAGAAUCAUACCCCAAGAAGCAAAUUAUGUCUCAACGAACAGCCAGUAUGGGUCCUCCGACCACAAGCCUGAGCCAGAAUAAUUGAUGCUGCCCCCUGUCCCCCACCUUUCUGCCCUGCUGACAGUUUCUCUAAGUUCACGCCCCUGUCACUUCUUCCUUUUUCUGAAGAACUACCGCUUUCACACUCACAACCACAAAUGACAUUUCUCUGAACAGAAGACUUCAUUCCACCAGGCUCCCACAGAUGGCAGCUGCUGUGACAAUAAGAAGGACCAAAUGACUGGGGCUUAGACAAGAAAAAUCCUAGGGUAGGUCAUGAACUCACUCGGUCGGCCUGGGACAGUGUCUUGGUGGUUUCAACCUGGUAUAGCUCAGAGGAAUCAGACGGGAAGCAGGUAAACCCACAGCCAUGUGGGGCGGGGUUAUAUCCCAAGGCCCCGAAUGCUUCACUGGCCCACUGCUAGGACACUGAGUCUACAAGGGGUAUGGACCUAUUGCAAGAGACAGAAAUGUUCCUUGGAAAUACAGUUUGGGGUGAAAGAUGUGGCACCACGGCAGGUUCUGGUUACAGCUAAUGCUCAUGGCAACCUUCUACAAAGUCCAAGUUACAUUACAGCAGACUUUUAAAACUUGUUUUAUUUUGGGGCCACACCCAGCAGUGUUGGAGGUAAGGAGAACCAUUUGGUGCCAGGGAUUGAAUCCAGGGCUCCCACAUGCAACCAACAAUCUGCUCCAAUAAAGCAGGUACAUUUGGGGCCAGAGUUGCAUUGCUUGAAACAAAACAAAACAAACAAACAAACAAACAAAACAAAACAAACAAAACACUUUAAAGUAGUUCUCAGCUCUCUUUUAAAGGAAUUCUGAUCAGGAUCUGGGGUAUGGCUCAGUGGCAGAACCCUCGCCUAGCCUGUGUGCAGCCCUCCCUGGGUUUGAUACCCAGCACCAACUCCUCUCCAGAGCACUGUUGGGAGUGACCUUGCUCCCCUCCCUUACCCCCCAAGUCAGGAGCAGUCUGCAAGCUGACACAAAAACAAAUAAAAAUCUUGCAAGCUUGAAGACUUCUCAUUUGACGAGGUGCCAAGUGACUGGCCAGCCUGUCGUUAGGGGCCACCCUUCGGAUCUAUUUGGAGAACAGUCUUCGCUCAUAGGAACACAGAAAGUUUCAGAGCACCACCCACCCGCCAUUUGGGGGUUUUCCACAAAAUCAAGUCGAAUUCAACCAAAUCCCUUGGCAGAGAAGAAACCCAAGAGAAAGUGAUGUGCUUGGUGGGAAGGGAGGGGGAGGAAAGCGGGGACGAGAAAAUGAAGAUCCUUCCGGGAAGGACGCUCGCCAGCUUCCGGGAUCGAGUGCAGCAGGACAAGAGGGCGAAGCCAAGUGGUGUGCAUUCCUAUCAAAAAGCAGGGGGCACUGGGGUGAGGGGCACCCUCAUCUGCCACUCCAAGGCGCCAGGGGCAAAGGACCCCUCUCCUAUCAGAUCCCAUCUCAACAGCGGCUCGG